CCUACGGGUGGCAGCAGUGAGGAAUAUUGGUCAAUGGCCGGAAGGCUGAACCAGCCAUGCCGCGUGAAGGUCAGUGCCCUAUGGGCGUUAAACUUCUUUUGUGCGGGAGCAAUAAUGGUCACGUGUGGCCAGACGAGAGUACCGUACGAAUAAGCAUCGGCUAACUCCGUGCCAGCAGCCGCGGUAAUACGGGGGAUGCAAGCGUUAUCCGGAUUUAUUGGGUUUAAAGGGUGCGUAGGCUGUGAGGUAAGUCAGCGGUGAAAUGCCCCCGCCCAACGGGGUGAAGUGCCAUUGAUACUGCCUGGCUGGAAUGCGGAUGCGGUGGGAGGAAUGUGUGGUGUAGCGGUGAAAUGCAUAGAUAUCACACAGAACACCGAUUGCGAAGGCAUCUCACGAAUCCGCGAUUGACGCUGAUGCACGAAAGCGUGGGUAUCAAACAGGAUUAGAUACCCUAGUAGUC
Molecule: ribosomal RNA, 460 nt
Filed under: uncultured bacterium
Lineage: Bacteria
Description: partial 16S ribosomal RNA
Rfam family: Bacterial small subunit ribosomal RNA
Source: RNAcentral